RNAcentral lists this ribosomal RNA (460 nucleotides) under uncultured bacterium. RNAcentral's name for it is "partial 16S ribosomal RNA". It matches the Rfam family "Bacterial small subunit ribosomal RNA", at positions 338 to 795 of the family's 1533-position model. The record is from RNAcentral.
CCUACGUGAGGCAGCAGUGAGGAAUAUUGGUCAAUGGACGCGAGCCUGAACCAGCCAUGCCGCGUGCAGGAAGAAGGCUCUAUGGUUUGUAAACUUCUUUUAUACGAGAAUAAAUUCAGGUACGUGUAUCUUUUUGAAAGUAUCUUACGAAUAAGGAUCGGCUAACUCCGUGCCAGCAGCCGCGGUAAUACGGAGGAUGCAGGCGUUAUCCGGAUUUAUUGGGUUUAAAGGGUGCGUAGGUGGUUAAUUAAGUGAGAGGUGAAAGGUAGUGGCUCAACCCUGAAAUUGCCGUUGAAACGGUUUGACUUGAGAAUAGUUGAGGUAGGCGGAAUGUAUGGUGUAGCGGUGAAAUGCAUAGAUAUCACGCAGAACUCCGAUUGCGAAGGCAGCUUACCAAACUAUAACUGACACUGAAGCACGAAAGCGUGGGGAUCAAACAGGAUUAGAUACCCCAGUAGUC